Macrosteles quadrilineatus (aster leafhopper) is the source of this 550-nucleotide long non-coding RNA. RefSeq lists it as uncharacterized. The transcript has 4 exons. Lineage: Eukaryota; Metazoa; Arthropoda; Insecta; Hemiptera; Cicadellidae. The record is from RefSeq and is a predicted model, not a curated record.
GAUGACUCGAGUGUUACAAACAAUAGUUUUUAAGGAAUAAUGAGAAAUAAGUUAAUUUUUAUAGGAUAAAAAACUUAAUCAACAUGAUAACAUUAGUCCUACCAGACACUAACUUAGUUUUAUAGAUGAUCCUGGAGCAAAGGCUGUAAUUUAACCUGAACCCAAAUUGGUCUCUUUUUUAAAUAUUGUCUUGAACCAAUAAGUUAAGAGGACUAACUUUUCUGGACGACAUUGCCAUCGACAUCACUGCAGAUGAGAGAGAAAGAGAGACCAGAGUUGUGUACCCUGGAGGCAAUUACCAUACUGCUGUGAUAAUGUUCCUUGGUCUAACCAUAACUUAAGUGAGAGCUGAAGCCUACCAGUAAAAUGGGGGUGUUGUAAUUAAUAUCCUCCGACACUGGAGGAUACAGGGGAGAGGUGUCAGAGGAAGAGGAGAUGGAGGAUGGGGCGAGUUUAAGACUAAGAUUGAAGAAAACUAACUUAUGGCCUGAUGACAGGGUGGAUGGCGAUGGAGGCAUGGAGGUUGGGGGAGAGAAGGCUGAAGAAGUGA